Non-coding RNA from Pelobates cultripes (western spadefoot toad), 299 nucleotides. The record is from the annotation of a GenBank genome assembly. Lineage: Eukaryota; Metazoa; Chordata; Amphibia; Anura; Pelobatidae.
GUAAACUUUUGCACAGCGAAGUAUAUUCACUGCCAUUGAAAAGGAGUGCAUAGCGGUGGUGUGGGCCCUCAAAAAGCUGCAACCUACUUGUAUGGACAACCGUUUACCUUACUCACAGAUCACAACAAAUUUGGGGCACUGCGCGUGCAAUCUAAUGUGCCACCAGAUAGGAGUGGUGUGUUUAGUACUAUUGUUAUCAGUUUAAUCACUGUUACGCCCCCUAUCCGUUGAUGUGGAGCAAGACGCAGCAGCAGAAGAGGACUAAGCCGAGGAGGUUAUGGAAGAGGAUGGAGUAGGAG